RNAcentral lists this ribosomal RNA (515 nucleotides) under uncultured eukaryote. RNAcentral describes it as "bacterial SSU rRNA". It matches the Rfam family "Eukaryotic small subunit ribosomal RNA", at positions 47 to 565 of the family's 1831-position model. The record is from RNAcentral.
AGCCAUGCAUGGUCUAAGUAUGAACCACUCAUACGGGUGAAACUGGCGAACGGCUCAUUACAACAGUUAUCAUUUACUUGGUCAUUGGAUCUGAUCCUACAUGGAUAACCGUAGUAACUCCAGAGCUAAUACAUGCACAAACUCCCGCGUUUGAUGGGAGGCGUUUAUUAGAUUCAACCAAUCGGCUUUGCCGACCGGGUGAUUCAUAGUAACCGAGCGAAUCGCAUGGCCCCAGUGCCGGCGAUGAACCAAUCAAGUUUCUGCCCUAUCAGCUUUCGUCGGUAGGGUAUUGGCCUACCGAGGCUUCUACGGGUAACGGGGAAUUAGGGUUUGAUUCCGGAGAGGGAGCCUGAGAAACGGCUACCACAUCUAAGGAAGGCAGCAGGCGCGCAAAUUACCCAAUCUCAAUUCGAGGAGGUAGUGACAAGAAAUACCUGUUGACGGCUUCGGCUGUCAAACGGGAAUGAGGACAAUUUAGAAACCUUAUCGAGUAUCCAUUGGAGGGCAAGUCUGGU